This 336-nucleotide ribosomal RNA is filed under the name uncultured bacterium. Its description in RNAcentral is "bacterial SSU rRNA". It matches the Rfam family "Bacterial small subunit ribosomal RNA", at positions 8 to 334 of the family's 1533-position model. The record is from RNAcentral.
AGGGUUUGAUUAUGGCUCAGAUUGAACGCUGGCGGCGUGCCUAACACAUGCAAGUCGAACGUGAAAGUUCCUUCGGGAGCGAGUAAAGUGGCGCACGGGUGAGUAACACGUGGAUAAUCUACCGGGAAGUUGGGGAUAACGACUGGAAACGGUCGCUAAUACCGAAUACGCUGUUCUAUUUGUUUAGGACAGGAAAGGAGGCCUCUGCAUAUGCUUCCGCUUUUCGAUGAGUCCGCGUCCCAUUAGCUGGUUGGCGGGGUAAAGGCCCACCAAGGCGACGAUGGGUAGCUGGUCUGAGAGGAUGAUCAGCCACACUGGGACUGGAACACGGCCCAG